CACCGCGGUAAUUCCAGCUCCAAUAGCGUAUAUUAAAGUUGUUGCAGUUAAAAAGCUCGUAGUUGAACUUCGGGAUCAAUUAGUUGGUCAUGCCUUGGUAUGUACUGAUUUUAUUGGUUCUCACCUUCUAAAGAACUAUAAUGUCAUUUAUUUGAUGUUAUAGGGAAUUAGGACUGUUACCUUGAAAAAAUUAGAGUGUUUAAAGCAGGCUCACGCUUGAAUACAUUAGCAUGGAAUAAUGAAAUAGGACAUCGCAUUCUAUUUUGUUGGUUUCUAGGAUCGAUGUAAUGAUUAAUAGGGAUAGUUGGGGGCAUUAGUAUUCAAUUGUCAGAGGUGAAAUUCUUGGAUUUAUUGAAGACUAACUACUGCGAAAGCAUUUGCCAAGGAUGUUUUCAUUAAUCAAGAACGAAAGUUAGGGGAUCGAAGACGAUCAGAUACCGUCGUAGUCUUAACCAUAAACUAUGCCGACUAGGGAUCGGAUGAUGUUGAUUUUUUAAUGACUCAUUCGGCACCUUACG
Molecule: unclassified non-coding RNA, 518 nt
Filed under: uncultured Glomeromycotina
Lineage: Eukaryota; Fungi; Glomeromycota
Description: SSU rRNA
Rfam family: Eukaryotic small subunit ribosomal RNA
Source: RNAcentral